Molecule: long non-coding RNA, 1036 nt
Filed under: Homo sapiens (human)
Lineage: Eukaryota; Metazoa; Chordata; Mammalia; Primates; Hominidae
Description: HSALNT0197803
Source: RNAcentral
GGACAGUGAUGGAAGCUGGGGGGACUCCAGCCGUCCUGGCCUCUGGGGGCUCCUGCCAGGGCGCAGGGUGCGGGGACAGCCUGGUCUGCAUAGCUGCGAGUCUGAGGACCUCUUCAGGAAGACUUGUGGGGUCAGAGGCUGCACGGUCCGUGAGGGGGGCGGCAGCCGUGAGGUUCGGGAUCACAGGACAAGGGCCGUGGGGUGUCCGGCAUGGGCAUUGGAGACCGCGAUGGAGUCAGGUUCUGCUGGACAUGGACCAGAAGUCCCCAGUUCAGUUCUGAGCACGUGGGUGAGGGGACUCCUGGGGGGCCGCCAGGGGCUCCGAGGAGAUGUGGGCUCGGGAGCUGUGAUGGCUGGGCUGUGUCCCCCACAAAUCCACAUGCUGAAGUCCCACCCCCACGACCUCAGGAUGUGACUGCAUAAAGGGGUCUUUAAUGAGGGUGUCAAGGUAAAGCGAGGUUGUUGGGGUGGACCCUGAUCCAGUCCCAUGGGUGACACAAUACGAAGAGGCGAUCAGGGAGGAAAAGGCCCCGGAGAGCGGCUUUGAGAGUGACGACCGCCCGUGAUGACCGGCCUGUGAUAACUGGCUGGUGAUAACUGGCUCGUGAUGACCGGCCCAUGAUGACUGGCCCGUGAUAACUGGCUCGUGAUGACCACCCGUGAUGACCGCCCGUGAUGACCGGCCCGUGAUAACUGGCUGGUGAUAACUGGCUCGUGAUGACCACCCGUGAUGACCGCCCGUGAUGACCGGCCGUGAUAACUGGCUGGUGAUAACUGGCUCGUGAUGACCAGCCCGUGAAGGACAAGGAAGAGGGAUGGCUGCUCAGAUGCCGGGGCCUGCAGUGCUGAUGAGGGUGUGCCUGGGCCACAUCGCCAUGGAGGACGGGAGGGGCCUGUUCGUUUCUAGAGGGACACGCCGGCCACCCGGAUGCAGAUACCACGUCCUCACGGAUGCGCACACGUUGCUUAGACACCAUCACGUGAGCCUUUUGAGCUUUGAAGGUUGAGAACAUAUUCCUAAGAACACACAUCAGCG